RNAcentral lists this ribosomal RNA (341 nucleotides) under Chalcides guentheri. RNAcentral's name for it is "partial 12S ribosomal RNA". Lineage: Eukaryota; Metazoa; Chordata; Lepidosauria; Squamata; Scincidae. The record is from RNAcentral.
CACAUGCAAGCCUCCACACCCCAGUGAAAAUGCCCGCAACGCCCUAAAUAGACUUCUGGAGCAGGUAUCAGGCUCAAACCCUGCCUUUAGCCUAAGACACCUUGCUAUGCCACACCCCCACGGGUAUUCAGCAGUGAUUAACAUUAACCAUAAGCGAAAGCUUGACUUAGCUAUGAUUAACAAAGUUGGUAAAUUUCGUGCCAGCCACCGCGGUUACACGAAAAACUUAAUACAAUGGCCUUCGGCGUAAAGCGUGACUAGAGCAACAAUCAAAAAUUUUAAAGAUAAAUCAUUAUAAAGCCGUAAAACGCCACUAUAAAUGAGAAAUACCGUCAACCCUU